This 433-nucleotide ribosomal RNA is filed under the name uncultured bacterium. RNAcentral's name for it is "partial 16S ribosomal RNA". It matches the Rfam family "Bacterial small subunit ribosomal RNA", at positions 29 to 507 of the family's 1533-position model. The record is from RNAcentral.
AACGAACGCUGGCGGCAUGCCUAACACAUGCAAGUCGAACGAGACCUUCGGGUCUAGUGGCGCACGGGUGCGUAACGCGUGGGAACCUGCCCUUAGGUUCGGAAUAACUCCCCGAAAGGGGUGCUAAUACCGGAUAAUGUCUUCGGACCAAAGAUUUAUCGCCUUUGGAUGGGCCCGCGUUGGAUUAGCUAGUUGGUAGGGUAAAAGCCUAUCAAGGCGACGAUCCAUAGCUGGUCUGAGAGGAUGAUCAGCCACACUGGGACUGAGACACGGCCCAGACUCCUACGGGAGGCAGCAGUGGGGAAUAUUGGACAAUGGGCGAAAGUCUGAUCCAGCAAUGCCGCGUGAGUGAUGAAGGCCUUAGGGUUGUAAAGCUCUUUUACCCGGGAUGAUAAUGACAGUACCGGGAGAAUAAGCUCCGGCUAACUACGUG